RNAcentral lists this ribosomal RNA (443 nucleotides) under uncultured Bacillota bacterium. RNAcentral describes it as "bacterial SSU rRNA". It matches the Rfam family "Bacterial small subunit ribosomal RNA", at positions 917 to 1359 of the family's 1533-position model. The record is from RNAcentral. Lineage: Bacteria; Bacillati; Bacillota.
GGGCCCGCACAAGCGGUGGAGCAUGUGGUUUAAUUCGAAGCAACGCGAAGAACCUUACCAAGGCUUGACAUCCCGAUGACCGGUAUAGAGAUAUACCUUUUCUUCGGAACAUCGGUGACAGGUGGUGCAUGGUUGUCGUCAGCUCGUGUCGUGAGAUGUUGGGUUAAGUCCCGCAACGAGCGCAACCCUUAUCGUUAGUAGCCAGCGCGUUAUGGUGGGCACACUAGCGAGACUGCCGUGGAUAACACGGAGGAAGGUGGGGACGACGUCAAAUCAUCAUGCCCCUUAUGUCUUGGGCUACACACGUGCUACAAUGGCGGCUACAAAGAGAAGCGAGAUCGUGAGAUGGAGCAAACCUCAAAAAGGUCGUCACAGUUCGGAUUGUAGUCUGCAACUCGACUACAUGAAGCUGGAAUCGCUAGUAAUCGCGAAUCAGCAUGUCG